GGCAUACCAAAACCAGUAAUCAAAUCAGGAUCUUGAAUAAGUUAAAAGAGAUAUACGGCUAUGUCAUAUCAUCUAAGCACUCUUGGAUUAGAAUUAGAAUUUUGCUGAAUACAUGAUCAAUAUCCAUGCAAUUGUUUAAUAUUACAUCACUUUUUAUAUUUGAUUAUUUGAAAAUAAAAUUUGAAUUAGUUUUUCUUAAGAUUAGAAUUAGUUUUUCUUAGGACUAAUACAUAAUCAAUAUCCAAUUUUAUUUUAAUCCGUAUAGGUAGGGGUGCACAAAUUAACUGGUCUUCAAACAAAAAUCACAUCCAUAUCCUUAACCAAAUUUAAAUAACCAGAUAUUUACAAUAUGGUUUUUAUCCUGACCAUAAAUUUUGGAUCGGUUUGUCCAUUUUUUUAACCAGUUAAUAACAUGGAUGUCCGUAUUUUUAACCAAUAUGUUAUUGUGGCUCUAAUGUAGGCGCAUGAAGCUAGUUAUUGUGUCGGUAACUUUGGUAUUAUAAACGCAAAUUUAAUUUUCACCUUAAUUAAUCACAAAUUUCUGUCAAAAUAAAACAGACAAAAAAACAAUUAAAAAAGUAAACUCAUAAAGUUAAUUGAAUUCUCGUCGUAAUUAAUCACAACAACUUCCACAAUCAAACGCUACAGGAUCUGUCUCUCUCCACCGGCAAAGAUGAAGCACGAAACGCAAGUGCAAGAGACGCCGCAGAGCUUCCAUCUUCAUCAAGUCCUAGCACCUCCGCAAAAUCCAGACCCAUUACAUUAGCAAGCAUAGCCAAACCAAAGAAAACUCAGAUCCCAAUUUCACCGUCACUUCUUCCCCUUCCCAUGUUAAAUUGAAGAGCCCAUUACCACCAAGAAUCUUCCCAUGCCACAUCACGCACUGUAUUCUCUCUAGAGGCUCUCUAUCUAAGUGGAUUUUUUUUUAAUUGUCUUUUUUUUUACGAUUUUAAAAAAAAAAAAAACAGUUUUUAACGGAAAUAACCGGUUUUUAGUCUAGAUUUCAAAAUAACCGGUUAAAAAUUUGGAUUUAAAAAAAAACCACUUUUAAACUGGUUUGGUUAAAAUAACCAGUGAUAUAUCCAUAACCAAAUUUAUAACUAGUUUUGUAACCGGUUUAUAAUAAAAUAUGGUUAUGGUUAUGAAUCCAACUCCAAUUAAAUAGUUUUGGUUUGGAUAUGACUUGGUUUGUCAAAUUAUCCGACCAUGCACACCCCUACGUAUAGGUUAGCUGCUCCUUUCAUCGCUGCUGCCAUUUUGUCGUACUAUAAGUAUAAGUCUUGUUUAUAUAUUUUGUAAAAAUUAUUGGUCAAUCGGAAGAAAUCGAUCGAAUUUCGUACAAGUUAGACAAAAUAUAAUGUUGUUGCUAACUUUGGGGGUACUCUUUAAAAAAUUAUUUGCUAAUGACACAAGGUCAAUGAAAAGCAAAGCCGUAAUGUCUAGUAAUUGGUAAAAAGAGAGUAUCUUCUCCCUUGGAAGUUUUUGAUUUGGUGUUUAUUUUCGGUGUUCCGACACCUAUGUUAUGUAGUUAUUUUUUAUUGGUCUUUGUUCAUCUUGUACAAAGACCCGGUUAUUAAUAUAUUUUGUUGUUCAAAAAGAAAAAACAUCUUUAAUAUAUAUAUAUAUGGGGUUUGCUAACUUAGACCCACCUAAAAACAUGAAGGUUUAAGUUAGCAAGGUAUACAUUUUCAUUUUGAACAAAAAAAUCUUGACAUUUAGUUGUUUUACACUAGAAAAUUGAGGGCUAGUUAGGUAAAUUUUAUUAAAUGUUGGUGCAAUCAUUUUCUAAUUUACACGCACUUAAUUAUAAAUAUAUGCGAUCUAAAUAAACAACAUAGGAAAUCAAAAAACGACAACUUAAGAAAACAUGUUACUCAACUUUGAAAAAAUGCACCUUGCUAACUUAGACUUUCAUGUUAAAACAUCAAAUCAGUUUUACUAAACUACCCUUGCCUUGAAACUAUAUUAAAAUAGUAAAAAAAAGUGUUUUGGUCUAAAGUGAAAAGGUGGUCUAAAGUGAAAAGGUGCACCUUGCUAACAUAGACCUUUAUGUUUUUAGGUGGGUCAAACUCCGGUCCACUGGACUAAUUAAUCUGGUUUGGGGGUCAGUUCUGACAUCAAAUGAUUCCAAGUACUUAGGACUAGUACGUACGAGUAUCUGAUCAAUAUCUGCCUAAUUUUGUCUUCAAGAUAGUAGUAUCAAAAUCUAAAAAAAAAUUUUGCUCGAUGAAAAUUAAAAUUAAAAUGAAAGUCUUUUGGUGAAAAAUAAUAUAGAAGUAU
RNAcentral lists this long non-coding RNA (2280 nucleotides) under Trifolium pratense (red clover). RNAcentral describes it as "long non-coding RNA (TPRA_LNC000500)". Lineage: Eukaryota; Viridiplantae; Streptophyta; Magnoliopsida; Fabales; Fabaceae. The record is from RNAcentral.